RNAcentral lists this ribosomal RNA (115 nucleotides) under uncultured bacterium. RNAcentral describes it as "partial 16S ribosomal RNA". It matches the Rfam family "Bacterial small subunit ribosomal RNA", at positions 240 to 354 of the family's 1533-position model. The record is from RNAcentral.
GUUAGCUAGUUGGUAAGGUAACGGCUUACCAAGGCAAUGAUGCAUAGCCGAGUUGAGAGACUGAUCGGCCACAUUGGGACUGAGACACGGCCCAAACUCCUACGGGAGGCAGCAG